RNAcentral lists this ribosomal RNA (116 nucleotides) under Pieris rapae crucivora. RNAcentral describes it as "partial 16S ribosomal RNA". Lineage: Eukaryota; Metazoa; Arthropoda; Insecta; Lepidoptera; Pieridae. The record is from RNAcentral.
AAGAUUUUAAUGAUCGAACAGAUCAAAAUUUUAAACUUUUGCAUUUAAAUUUUAUCUUAAUCCAACAUCGAGGUCGCAAACUUUUUUUCUUAUAAGAACUAAAAAAAAAAAUUACG